Molecule: long non-coding RNA, 1661 nt
Organism: Apis florea (little honeybee)
Lineage: Eukaryota; Metazoa; Arthropoda; Insecta; Hymenoptera; Apidae
Source: RefSeq, a predicted model, not a curated record
AUAAAAAGUAACUCCCUUGACAGAAAUUGACAGCAAACUUUACCUUUUAUCGCGGAACUUUUUCUUCUUCCCAUCCCGGUGACGAUGGACGGCACGACAUUUACCGAGUGUCAAAGUCUAUUUCGGCCCAUCCUUCGUUGAUUUUACUCUUUCGUCGACUCCCCAUCGAGAUUUCUGGUCUCUGGCAUGGUUACUCGAGGCUGGCGCGAAAAUACUCGGGAAACUGUUGCAGACCACCAGUCGGGCAGAUAGAUACAACUACGAGUCGACGAAUCUAUCUCCACCGUUCUUCUUCUACGAAAGAAAUACGAAGGAAUAUCGUUGAAUUUUUAACACGUGCUUUCCAACACUUUCACUUGGUCGCCGCGUAACACGAUUGUGAAACGAAUGAAAGAAAAGAAAGGAAAAAGAAACGGCCGUCUUUUCGAGAUCGAGAAUCGAUAUCGCGUGGCUUUUCGGUCGGCCGGCCGCUGCGGAGCGCGAUCGGCACAGCAUCCACGCUACCGGAUCACUGGUGAGACACUAACCGACAAGAGACAGAGAACGCAGCAGACACGAGGUAGAGGUAAGCUACACCGCAAUUGGUCGGGUUGGGAGAGAUGGAGAAGAGUGUGUUAGCAGGGUGCAGGGGAAGAAAGAGACGGCGGAUAAAAGUGGACAGGGUGGGAAGUAGAAAUAAGCAGGUAGUGGGAGUGGAGUAGUAGUAGCUGGUUGCGUACACCAGCCUUAAAAGCAGGUAUCCACGUGGCCGAUCCUCGUAACGUCGCCUCACUUCGUAUCGCGACCAGUUUCCUACCAAAAUAACCACCGAAUUUCUCCUCUCCUCUUUUUCCUUCCAUUCCCUACUUUUCCAAUUUUUCUCUUCGAAAAUCGUAUUACUCCUUCGUAAUCGCGGUCGAUUCGGAAAGUGUAGUAAAGCAAGACGUACAACAUACGUACCGAUUUGGAAAGAGAUUUGUGGAUCCCCUUCGAAAGAUUUCCUUAAUUCGAUUGUAUUUUCAAAGGGAAAUACGAGAACCGAAAUCCUCUCCUGCAACGAAUAACUUCUACACGAUACGCGAUAACCGAGUAAAUUGGAUGGAAAUUCACGAGCCGAGAGGAUUUUCUGCACGUGCAUCUUUUACGGCGGAAAAAUUAAAACUCGAGAACCACUCCCUCUUCGUUAUUUUAUUUACGUUCGUUAUUUCACGGGAAUUCAACUUUUUUAACGACAGUUCAAAGUUUAGAAAAACAAAAAAAAUAAAACGUGAGUUACAAACGUGUAUUAGAUAGGUUAAUUAUGCGUAUACGUGAUAUUUUAAAGACUUUUCUAAAAGUGGACAAUUUAAAUUAUAAAAUAUAAAAAUAAAAAUUACAAGAAAGAUCAUUGGCGUGAUCGGUACACGAGCACGUGUACAAAGGAAUCUCGUCUCGGUGGACAUUAAUUAAGGAAAGAACGGGGAGAUAGAAUUAUAGCCGGAGGAAGAUGGCGACGAAGGAUCGUUCGGAAAUUACACGUUGUGUGGGUGCAUUGCCUACUUCUUUCUCGCAUUUUUCUUAUUCCCACGUUCCUUCCACGUUAAUGAUUGGUGGCCGCGUCGAUACCAUACCCUUUCACGCGAGCACUAACCGUGUAGCAAUUAACCGUGAAUAUUGUUCGAGGUAAUAAAAGUUACGAUCCG